GCUGGAUGUGGUGGUGCACACCUGUAAUCCCAGCUACUCAGGAGGCUGAGGCAGGAGAAUCGCUUGAACUCGGGAGUUGGAGGUUGCAGUGAGCUGAGAUUGUGCCACUGCACUCCAGCCUGGGUGACAGAACGAGACUCUGUCUCAU
RNAcentral lists this non-coding RNA (148 nucleotides) under Pan troglodytes (chimpanzee). Lineage: Eukaryota; Metazoa; Chordata; Mammalia; Primates; Hominidae. The record is from Rfam by way of RNAcentral.